RNAcentral lists this ribosomal RNA (253 nucleotides) under uncultured bacterium. RNAcentral's name for it is "partial 16S ribosomal RNA". It matches the Rfam family "Bacterial small subunit ribosomal RNA", at positions 524 to 776 of the family's 1533-position model. The record is from RNAcentral.
UACGUAGGGACCAAGCGUUGUUCGGAUUUACUGGGCGUAAAGGGCGCGUAGGCGGCGUGGUAAGUCACUUGUGAAAUCUCUGAGCUUAACUCAGAACGGCCAAGUGAUACUGCUGUGCUAGAGUGCAGAAGGGGCAAUCGGAAUUCUUGGUGUAGCGGUGAAAUGCGUAGAUAUCAAGAGGAACACCUGAGGUGAAGACGGGUUGCUGGGCUGACACUGACGCUGAGGAGCGAAAGCGUGGGUAGCAAACAGG